GUAGUCAUAUGCUUGUCUCAAAGAUUAAGCCAUGCAUGUCUAAGUAUAAAUGGAUUAUACAGUGAAACUGCGAAUGGCUCAUUAAAUCAGUUAUAGUUUAUUUGAUAAUAUCUCUUACUUGGAUAACCGUAAUAAUUUUAGAGCUAAUACAUGCGUAAAAGGGCGACUUUUUGGAAGCUCUGUAUUUAUUAGAUACAAAACCAAUCGUGCUUGCACGUUACCUUGGUGAUUCAUAAUAACUAAACGAAUCGCAUGACUUUAUGUCGGCGAUGAUUCAUAUAAGUUUCUGCCCUAUCAACUUUCGAUGGUAAGGUAUUGGCUUACCAUGGUUACAACGGGUAACGGGGAAUG
RNAcentral lists this ribosomal RNA (351 nucleotides) under uncultured fungus. Its description in RNAcentral is "bacterial SSU rRNA". It matches the Rfam family "Eukaryotic small subunit ribosomal RNA", at positions 20 to 371 of the family's 1831-position model. Lineage: Eukaryota; Fungi. The record is from RNAcentral.